GAUGAACGCUGGCGGCGUGCCUAAUACAUGCAAGUCGAGCGAACAGACGAGGAGCUUGCUCCUCUGACGUUAGCGGCGGACGGGUGAGUAACACGUGGAUAACCUACCUAUAAGACUGGGAUAACUUCGGGAAACCGGAGCUAAUACCGGAUAAUAUAUUGAACCGCAUGGUUCAAUAGUGAAAGACGGUUUUGCUGUCACUUAUAGAUGGAUCCGCGCCGCAUUAGCUAGUUGGUAAGGUAACGGCUUACCAAGGCAACGAUGCAUAGCCGACCUGAGAGGGUGAUCUGCGACACUUGAACUGAAACAAGGUCCAGACUACGACGGGAGGCAGCAGUAGGGAAUCUUCCGCAAUGGGCGAAAGCCUGACGGAGCAACGCCGCGUGAGUGAUUAAGGUCUUCGGAUCGGAAAACUCUGUUAUGAGGGAAGAACAAAUGUGUAAGUAACUAUGCACGUCUUGACGGUACCUAAUCAGAAAGCCACGGCUAACUACGUG
Molecule: ribosomal RNA, 497 nt
Filed under: uncultured bacterium
Lineage: Bacteria
Description: partial 16S ribosomal RNA
Rfam family: Bacterial small subunit ribosomal RNA
Source: RNAcentral